This 253-nucleotide ribosomal RNA is filed under the name uncultured bacterium. Its description in RNAcentral is "partial 16S ribosomal RNA". It matches the Rfam family "Bacterial small subunit ribosomal RNA", at positions 524 to 776 of the family's 1533-position model. The record is from RNAcentral.
UACAGAGGUGGCAAGCGUUGUUCGGAAUUACUGGGCGGAAAGGGCGCGUAGGCGGCCUUCUAAGUCAGACGUGAAAUCCCCCGGCUUAACCUGGGAACUGCGUCUGAUACUGGGAGGCUUGAGUAUGGGAGAGGGAUGUAGAAUUCCAGGUGUAGCGGUGAAAUGCGUAGAUAUCUGGAGGAAUACCGGUGGCGAAGGCGGCAUCCUGGACCAUAACUGACGCUGAGGCGCGAAAGCUAGGGGAGCAAACGGG